This 301-nucleotide ribosomal RNA is filed under the name uncultured bacterium. RNAcentral's name for it is "partial 16S ribosomal RNA". It matches the Rfam family "Bacterial small subunit ribosomal RNA", at positions 509 to 807 of the family's 1533-position model. The record is from RNAcentral.
CAGUAGCCGCGGGAAUACGGAGGGUGCAAGCGUUAUCCGGAUUUAUUGGGUUUAAAGGGUCCGUAGGCGGACUUAUAAGUCAGUGGUGAAAGCCUGUCGCUUAACGAUAGAACUGCCAUUGAUACUGUAAGUCUUGAGUAUAUUUGAGGUAGCUGGAAUAAGUAGUGUAGCGGUGAAAUGCAUAGAUAUUACUUAGAACACCAAUUGCGAAGGCAGGUUACCAAGAUAUAACUGACGCUGAGGGACGAAAGCGUGGGUAGCGAACAGGAUUAGAGACCCCUGUAGUCCCUGUCUCUUAUAC